UAAAUUAUGACGAUUGUUAUUUGUGCUGUUGGUUCGAUUCGUUCGAUUACGUUUUUACGAUUACCAACUGCCACUAUUUCUGGUUGCAGCUUUUCAUAAAUUAU
RNAcentral lists this small nucleolar RNA (104 nucleotides) under Drosophila willistoni. Its description in RNAcentral is "snoRNA:GK26495". The record is from RNAcentral. Lineage: Eukaryota; Metazoa; Arthropoda; Insecta; Diptera; Drosophilidae.